RNAcentral lists this ribosomal RNA (1054 nucleotides) under uncultured bacterium. RNAcentral's name for it is "bacterial SSU rRNA". It matches the Rfam family "Bacterial small subunit ribosomal RNA", at positions 337 to 1396 of the family's 1533-position model. The record is from RNAcentral.
UCCUACGGGAGGCAGCAGUGGGGAAUUGUUCACAAUGGGCGCAAGCCUGAUGACGCAACGCCGCGUGGGGGAUGAAGGUCUUCGGAUCGUAAACCCCUGUCGAAUGGGACGAAUAGCUCGUGAAUUAAUACCUCGUGGGAAUGACGGUACCGUUAAAGGAAGCCACGGCUAACUCUGUGCCAGCAGCCGCGGUAAUACAGAGGUGGCAAGCGUUGUUCGGAAUUACUGGGCGUAAAGGGCGCGUAGGCGGCAGAGUAAGUAGGUAGUGAAAGCGUGCGGCUCAACCGCAUAGACAUUACCUAAACUACUCAGCUAGAGGAUGAGAGAGGUUAUUGGAAUUUCUAGUGUAGGAGUGAAAUCCGUAGAUAUUAGAAGGAACACCGAUGGCGUAGGCAGAUAACUGGCUCAUUCCUGACACUAAGGCACGAAAGCGUGGGGAGCGAACUGGAUUAGAUACCCAGGUAGUCCACGCCGUAAACGAUGGAUGCUAGCUGUUAUUCGUAUCGACCCGAGUAGUAGCGAAGCUAACGCGUUAAGCAUCCCGCCUGUGGAGUACGGCCGCAAGGCUAAAACAUAAAGGAAUUGACGGGGACCCGCACAAGCGGUGGAGCGUGUUGUUUAAUUCGAUGGUAAGCGAAGAACCUUACCCAGGUUUGACAUCUUAGGAAGUUCUGCGAAAGCAGAGUGUGCCUUCGGGAACCUAAAGACAGGUGAUGCAUGGCCGUCGUCAGCUCGUGUCGUGAGAUGUUUGGUUAAGUCCAUUAACGAGCGCAACCCUUAUAGUUAGUUGUAUUUCUCUAGCUAGACUGCCCUGGUAACAGGGAGGAAGGAGGGGAUGAUGUCAGGUCAGUAUUUCCCUUACAUCUGGGGCUACAAACACGCUACAAUGGCCGGUACAAAGGGCAGCCAAGUCGCAAGACGGAGCAAAUCCCAUCAAAGCCGGUCUCAGUUCGGAUAGCAGGCUGAAACUCGCCUGCUUGAAGCUGGAAUCGCUAGUAACGGUAGGUCAGCACACUACCGUGAAUACGUUCCCGGGCCUUGUACACACCGCCAU